GAGUAAUCCCGGGCAGGCGGCGGCUGGAAUGCGUGUGGGGCAAGCGUGGUCCGGGGUUAUUGGGCGUAAAGCGAGCGUAGGCGGUUCCUUAAGUCUGAUGUGAAAGCCCACGGCUCAACCGUGGAAGGUCAUUGGAAACUGGGGAAGUUGAGUGCAGAAGAGGAGAGUGGAAUUCCAUGUGUAGCGGUGAAAUGCGUAGAUAUAUGGAGGAACACCAGUGGCGAAGGCGACUCUCUGGUCUGUAACUGACGCUGAGGCUCGAAAGCGUGGGGAGCAAACAGGAUUAGAUACCCCGUAGUC
RNAcentral lists this ribosomal RNA (300 nucleotides) under uncultured Lactobacillus sp. RNAcentral describes it as "bacterial SSU rRNA". It matches the Rfam family "Bacterial small subunit ribosomal RNA", at positions 495 to 795 of the family's 1533-position model. The record is from RNAcentral. Lineage: Bacteria; Bacillati; Bacillota; Bacilli; Lactobacillales; Lactobacillaceae.